This 253-nucleotide ribosomal RNA is filed under the name uncultured bacterium. Its description in RNAcentral is "partial 16S ribosomal RNA". It matches the Rfam family "Bacterial small subunit ribosomal RNA", at positions 524 to 776 of the family's 1533-position model. The record is from RNAcentral.
UACGUAGGGGGCAAGCGUUGUCCGGAAUUAUUGGGCGUAAAGAGCGCGUAGGCGGUCCGAUAAGUCGGCUGUGAAAGUCAGGGGCUCAACCCUUGAAAGCCGGCCGAUACUGUCGGACUAGAGUCCGGAAGAGGUGACUGGGAUUCCCGGUGUAGCGGUGAAAUGCGCAGAUAUCGGGAGGAACACCUAUGGCGAAGGCAGCUCGCUGGGACGUUACUGACGCUGAGACGCGAAAGCGUGGGGAGCAAACAGG